GACGAACGCUGGCGGCGUGCUUAACACAUGCCAGUCGAACGGAAAGGCCCCUUCGGGGGUACUCGAGUGGCGAACAGGUGAGUAACACGUGAGUAACCUGCCCUUGACUUCGGGAUAACUUCAGGAAACUGGGGCUAAUACCGGAUAGGAAUCCUUGCUGCAUGGUGGGGGUUGGAAAGCUUCGGCGGUUUUGGAUGGACUCGCGGCUUAUCAGCUUGUUGGUGGGGUAGUGGCUUACCAAGGCUUUGACGGGUAGCCGGCCUGAGAGGGCGACCGGCCACAUUGGGACUGAGAUACGGCCCAGACUCCUACGGGAGGCAGCAGUGGGGAAUAUUGCACAAUGGGCGGAAGCCCGAUGCAGCAACGCCGCGUGCGGGAUGACGGCCUUCGGGUUGUAAACCGCUUUCAGCAGGGGCGAAGCUUGUGGUGACGGUACCUGCAGAAGAAGCACCGGCUAACUACGUG
This 465-nucleotide ribosomal RNA is filed under the name uncultured bacterium. RNAcentral describes it as "partial 16S ribosomal RNA". It matches the Rfam family "Bacterial small subunit ribosomal RNA", at positions 28 to 507 of the family's 1533-position model. The record is from RNAcentral.